GACGAACGCUGGCGGCGUGCCUAAUACAUGCAAGUGGGACGCAAGGGAACACACUGUGCUUGCACACCGUGUUUUCUUGAGUCGCGAACGGGUGAGUAACGCGUAGGUAACCUGCCUAUUAGCGGGGGAUAACUAUUGGAAACGAUAGCUAAUACCGCAUAAUAUUAAUUAUUGCAUGAUAAUUGAUUGAAAGAUGCAAGCGCAUCACUAGUAGAUGGACCUGCGUUGUAUUAGCUAGUUGGUAAGGUAAGAGCUUACCAAGGCGACGAUACAUAGCCGACCUGAGAGGGUGAUCGGCCACACUGGGACUGAGACACGGCCCAGACUCCUACGGGAGGCAGCAGUAGGGAAUCUUCGGCAAUGGACGAAAGUCUGACCGAGCAACGCCGCGUGAGUGAAGAAGGUUUUCGGAUCAUAAAGCUCUGUUGUAAGUCAAGAACGUGUGUGAGAGUGGAAAGUUCACACAGGA
This 469-nucleotide ribosomal RNA is filed under the name Streptococcus mutans. RNAcentral describes it as "bacterial SSU rRNA". It matches the Rfam family "Bacterial small subunit ribosomal RNA", at positions 28 to 472 of the family's 1533-position model. Lineage: Bacteria; Bacillati; Bacillota; Bacilli; Lactobacillales; Streptococcaceae. The record is from RNAcentral.